UGGCGGCAUGGAUUAGGCGUGCAAGUCGAACGGAGACCCCCUGCUUCGGCGGGGCGAUCAGUGGCGAAAGGGUGAGUAACACGUGAGCAACCUGCCCCCGAGUUCGGAAUAGCCCCGGGAAACCGGGAUUAAUACCGAAUGUGGUGCAACCGCCUCCUGUCGGUUGUCCCAAAGGUCCGCCGCUCGGGGAUGGGCUCGCGUCCCAUUAGCUUGUUGGUGAGGUAACGGCUCACCAAGGCUGUGACGGGUAGCUGGUCUGAGAGGAUGGUCAGCCACACUGGGACUGAGACACUGCCCAGACUCCUACGGGAGGCUGCAGUCGAGAAUCAUCCGCAAUGGGCGAAAGCCUGACGGUGCGAUGCCGCGUGAGGGAUGAAGGCCUUCGGGUUGUAAACCCCUGUCAGGAGGGACGAAGAAUGUGACGGUACCUCCAGAGGAAGCCAUGGCUAACUACGUGCCAGCAGCCGCGGUAAUACGUAGAUGGCGAGCGUUAUUCGGAUUUACUGGGCGUAAAGGGUCCGCAGGGGGUUUGCCGAGUCUGAUGUGAAAUCCCGAGGCUCAACCUCGGAACUGCAUUGGAUACUGGUGAACUAGAGUGCACGAGGGGUGAGCGGAAUUCCUGGUGUAGCGGUGGAAUGCGUAGAUAUCAGGAAGAACACCGAUGGCGAAGGCGGCUCACUGGCGUGCUACUGACCCUCAUGGACGAAAGCGUGGGUAGCGAACAGGAUUAGAUACCCUGGUAGUCCACGCUGUAAACGUUGUGCACUAGAUGUGGGCGGUUUUGAUCCCGCCCGUGUCCAAGCUAACGCGUUAAGUGCACCGCCUGGGGACUACGGCCGCAAGGCUAAAACUCAAAGGAAUUGACGGGGGCCCGCACAAGCGGUGGAGCAUGUGGCUCAAUUCGAGGCAACGCGAAGAACCUUACCUGGGCUUGACAUACACCGGACCGCCCUCUGAAAGGAGGGCUUCCCUUCGGGGCCUGUGUACAGAUGCUGCAUGGCUGUCGUCAGCUCGUGUCGUGAGAUGUUCGGUUAAGUCCGGCAACGAGCGCAACCCGUGUCGUCAGUUGCCAUCAGGUUAUGCUGGGCACUCUGGCGAGACUGCCCGUGUCAAGCGGGAGGAAGGCGCGGAUGACGUCAAGUCAGUAUGGCUCUUACGCCCAGGGCUGCACACGUGCUACAAUGGACGGUACAAUGGGAUGCGAGACCGCGAGGUGGAGCAAAUCCGCAAAAACCGUCCCCAGUUCGGAUUGGAGUCUGCAACUCGACUCCAUGAAGUCGGAAUCGCUAGUAAAGGGGUAUCAGCUACGGCCCCUUGAAUACGUUCCCGGGCCUUGUACACACCGCCCGUCACAUCAUGGAAGCCGGCUGCACCCGAAGUCAUUGACCGAACCCUCACGGGGCGGAAAUGCCGAAGGUGUGUCCGGUGACUGUGAUGAAGUCGAAACAAGGUA
This 1453-nucleotide ribosomal RNA is filed under the name metagenome. Its description in RNAcentral is "bacterial SSU rRNA". It matches the Rfam family "Bacterial small subunit ribosomal RNA". The record is from RNAcentral.